GAUGAACGCUGGCGGCGUGCCUAAUACAUGCAAGUCGAGCGAACAGAUAAGGAGCUUGUUCCUUUGACGUUAGCGGCGGACGGGUGAGUAACACGUGGGUAACCUACCUAUAAGACUGGAAUAACUCCGGGAAACCGGGGCUAAUGCCGGAUAACAUUUAGAACCGCAUGGUUCUAAAGUGAAAGAUGGUUUUGCUAUCACUUAUAGAUGGACCCGCGCCGUAUUAGCUAGUUGGUAAGGUAACGGCUUACCAAGGCAACGAUACGUAGCCGACCUGAGAGGGUGAUCGGCCACACUGGAACUGAGACACGGUCCAGACUCCUACGGGAGGCAGCAGUAGGGAAUCUUCCGCAAUGGGCGAAAGCCUGACGGAGCAACGCCGCGUGAGUGAUGAAGGUCUUCGGAUCGUAAAACUCUGUUAUUAGGGAAGAACAAAUGUGUAAGUAACUGUGCACGUCUUGACGGUACCUAAUCAGAAAGCCACGGCUAACUACGUG
Molecule: ribosomal RNA, 497 nt
Filed under: uncultured bacterium
Lineage: Bacteria
Description: partial 16S ribosomal RNA
Rfam family: Bacterial small subunit ribosomal RNA
Source: RNAcentral